Molecule: ribosomal RNA, 262 nt
Filed under: uncultured archaeon
Lineage: Archaea
Description: partial 16S ribosomal RNA
Rfam family: Archaeal small subunit ribosomal RNA
Source: RNAcentral
CAGCCCUAAACGAUGCGCGUUAGGUGUAUCGGUGACCACGAGUCACCGAGGUGCCGAAGGGAAACCGUGGAACGUGCCGCCUGGGAAGUACGGUCGCAAGGCUGAAACUUAAAGGAAUUGGCGGGGGGAGCACCACAACGGGUGGAGCUUGCGGUUUAAUUGGAUUCAACGCCGGAAAUCUUACCGGGACCGACAGCAACAUGAAGGCCAGGCUGAAGACUUUGCCGGAUUAGCUGAGAGGAGGUGCAUGGCGUAGUCGUGU